GUGGGGAAUAUUGGACAAUGGGCGCAAGCCUGAUCCAGCCAUGCCGCGUGAGUGAUGAAGGCCCUAGGGUUGUAAAGCUCUUUCGCCGGUGAAGAUAAUGACUGUAGCCGGUAAAGAAGCCCCGGCUAACUUCGUGCCAGCAGCCGCGGUAAUACGAAGGGGGCUAGCGUUGUUCGGAAUUACUGGGCGUAAAGCGCACGUAGGCGGACAUUUAAGUCAGGGGUGAAAUCCCGGAGCUCAACUCCGGAACUGCCUUUGAUACUGGGUGUCUCGAGUAUGGAAGAGGUAAGUGGAAUUGCGAGUGUAGAGGUGAAAUUCGUAGAUAUUCGCAGGAACACCAGUGGCGAAGGCGGCUUACUGGUCCAUUACUGACGCUGAGGUGCGAAAGCGUGGGGAGCAAACAGGAUUAGAAACCCGAGUAGUCC
Molecule: ribosomal RNA, 425 nt
Filed under: uncultured bacterium
Lineage: Bacteria
Description: bacterial SSU rRNA
Rfam family: Bacterial small subunit ribosomal RNA
Source: RNAcentral